UUAGCCCUGAAAAUGGAUGGCGCUCAAGCGGGCUGCCGAUGUCGUGCCAUUCGGGGCAAAAUAAACAUUUUUGUAAAUAAAACUGGCUUUAAAAUGAUUACAAAUUAAACAAAAAAAAUUGAAAUGUUUUAGUUAUCCUUGAAUGAGUAGGAGGGUGUGGAGGUUGCGUCGAAGCGUGCGGGGCAACCUGGCGUGGAGCGGCCUCUAGUACAGAUCUUGGUGAUAGUAGCAAAUAUUCAGGUGAGACCCCUGAAGGUCGAAGCGGGGAAGGGUUCCACGCGAACAUUGAUUGAACGUGGGUGAGCCGUACCUAAGCCAAGUGGCCAUGGCUGCGAUAGGCGAAAGGGUGGCAGGUUGAUAUUCCUGCGCUUGGAUGUAGUUGAUUGCGGUGACGCAUCUCUUUCCGGGGUGGUGACAUCGGUGGACUCGCUGGGCAGAGUUUUCUUCUCUGUUUGACGCGUACCGCGCUGUGUGGAGGCCGAUUAUCGGGAGAAGCACGCGUGAUGAGGCAGAGCGCCGCGAGGUAUUUGCGGCGUCCGGCUUGAGUUAAUCGGUCCUUGAAAAACCACUUGCUGGGUCGAUGGGGGGUCAGGGAUGAGACUUUGUUUCCUCUACCUCUUGUCGAUGAUAAAGAAACGACUACGCCGAGACGUACCCAGAACCGCAUCAGGU
This 672-nucleotide ribosomal RNA is filed under the name Martensia sp. ARS-2011. Its description in RNAcentral is "eukaryotic LSU rRNA". It matches the Rfam family "Eukaryotic large subunit ribosomal RNA", at positions 1306 to 1864 of the family's 3401-position model. Lineage: Eukaryota; Rhodophyta; Florideophyceae; Ceramiales; Delesseriaceae. The record is from RNAcentral.